GAUGAACGCUGGCGGCGUGCCUAAUACAUGCAAGUCGAGCGAACGGACGAGAAGCUUGCUUCUCUGAUGUUAGCGGCGGACGGGUGAGUAACACGUGGAUAACCUACCUAUAAGACUGGGAUAACUUCGGGAAACCGGAGCUAAUACCGGAUGAUAUUUUGAACCGCAUGGUUCAAAAGUGAAAGACGGUCUUGCUGUCACUUAUAGAUGGAUCCGCGCUGCAUUAGCUAGUUGGUAAGGUAACGGCUCACCAAGGCAACGAUGCAUAGCCGACCUGAGAGGGUGAUCGGCCACACUGGAACGGAGACACGGUCCAGACUCCUGCGGGAGGCAGCAGUAGGGAAUCUUCCGCAAUAGGCGGAAGCCUGACGGAGCAACGCCGCGUGAGUGAUGAAGGUCUUCGGAUCGUAAAACUCUGUUAUGAGGGAAGAACAGAUGUGUAAGUAACUGUGCACAUCUUGACGGUACCUAAUCAGAAAGCCACGGCUAACUACGUG
RNAcentral lists this ribosomal RNA (497 nucleotides) under uncultured bacterium. RNAcentral's name for it is "partial 16S ribosomal RNA". It matches the Rfam family "Bacterial small subunit ribosomal RNA", at positions 28 to 507 of the family's 1533-position model. The record is from RNAcentral.